RNAcentral lists this ribosomal RNA (253 nucleotides) under uncultured bacterium. RNAcentral describes it as "partial 16S ribosomal RNA". It matches the Rfam family "Bacterial small subunit ribosomal RNA", at positions 524 to 776 of the family's 1533-position model. The record is from RNAcentral.
UACGGAGGGUGCGAGCGUUGUCCGGAAUCAUUGGGCGUAAAGGGCGCGUAGGUGGCUUCUUAAGCGUGCGGUGAAAGCCUGGGGCUCAACCCCGGGUCGGCCGUGCGAACUGGGGGGCUGGAGCACUGUAGAGGCAGGCGGAAUUCCGGGUGUAGCGGUGGAAUGCGUAGAGAUCCGGAAGAACACCGGUGGCGAAGGCGGCAUCCUGGACCGGCAUUGACGCUGAGGCGCGAAAGCCAGGGGAGCAAACGGG